Molecule: ribosomal RNA, 971 nt
Filed under: uncultured bacterium
Lineage: Bacteria
Description: bacterial SSU rRNA
Rfam family: Bacterial small subunit ribosomal RNA
Source: RNAcentral
UUUCGGACCUAGAGACCGGCGCACGGGUGCGUAACGCGUAUGCAAUCUACCUUUCACAGAGGGAUAGCCCAGAGAAAUUUGGAUUAAUACCUCAUAGUAUUAUAGAGUGGCAUCACUUUAUAAUUAAAGUCACAACGGUGAAAGAUGAGCAUGCGUCCCAUUAGCUAGUUGGUAAGGUAACGGCUUACCAAGGCAACGAUGGGUAGGGGUCCUGAGAGGGAGAUCCCCCACACUGGUACUGAGACACGGACCAGACUCCUACGGGAGGCAGCAGUGAGGAAUAUUGGACAAUGGGCGCAAGCCUGAUCCAGCCAUGCCGCGUGCAGGAUGACGGUCCUAUGGAUUGUAAACUGCUUUUGCACAGGAAGAAACAACGCUACGUGUAGCGUCUUGACGGUACUGUGAGAAUAAGGAUCGGCUAACUCCGUGCCAGCAGCCGCGGUAACACGGAGGAUCCAAGCGUUAUCCGGAAUCAUUGGGUUUAAAGGGUCCGUAGGCGGUUUAGUAAGUCAGUGGUGAAAGCCCAUCGCUCAACGGUGGAACGGCCAUUGAUACUGCUAAACUUGAAUUAUUAGGAAGUAACUAGAAUAUGUAGUGUAGCGGUGAAAUGCUUAGAGAUUACAUGGAAUACCAAUUGCGAAGGCAGGUUACUACUAAUGGAUUGACGCUGAUGGACGAAAGCGUGGGUAGCGAACAGGAUUAGAUACCCUGGUAGUCCACGCUGUAAACGAUGGAUACUAGCUGUUGGAAGCAAUUUCAGUGGCUAAGCGAAAGUGAUAAGUAUCCCACCUGGGGAGUACGUUCGCAAGAAUGAAACUCAAAGGAAUUGACGGGGGCCCGCACAAGCGGUGGAGCAUGUGGUUUAAUUCGAUGAUACGCGAGGAACCUUACCAAGGCUUAAUGUAGAUUGACCGGUUUGGAAACAGAUCUUUCGCAGACAUUUACAGUGCUGCAUGGUUGUCGUCAGCUCG